AUUGAACGCUGGCGGCAUGCUUUACACAUGCAAGUCGGACGGCAGCACAGAGAAGCUUGCUUCUUGGGUGGCGAGUGGAGAACGGGGGAGCAAUAGAGCGGAACGUACGGAGUAAUGGGGGAUAACUAAUCGAAAGAUUAGCUAAUACCGCAUAUUAUCAGAGGAGGAAAGCAGGGGACCUUCGGGCCUUGCGAUAUUCGAGCGGCCGAUAACUGAUUAGCUAGUGGGUGGGGUCAAGGCCGACCAAGGCGACGAUCAGUAGGUGGCCGGAGAGGAGGAGGCGCCCCACUGGGACUGAGACACGGCCCCGACUCCUACGGGAGGCAGCAGUGGGGACUUUUGGAGAAUGGGCGCAAGCCUGAUCCAGCCAUGCCGCGUGUCUGAAGAAGGCCUUCGGGUUGUAAAGUACUUUUGUCAGGGAAGAAAAGGCUGUUGCUAAUACCGACAGCUGAUGACGGUACCUGAAGAAUAAGCACCGGCUAACUACGUG
This 490-nucleotide ribosomal RNA is filed under the name uncultured bacterium. RNAcentral's name for it is "partial 16S ribosomal RNA". It matches the Rfam family "Bacterial small subunit ribosomal RNA", at positions 29 to 507 of the family's 1533-position model. The record is from RNAcentral.